UACGUAGGGGGCAAGCGUUGUCCGGAAUUAUUGGGCGUAAAGCGCGCGCAGGCGGUCUUUUAAGUCUGAUGUGAAAUCUUGCGGCUUAACCGCAAGCGGUCAUUGGAAACUGGAGGACUUGAGUGCAGAAGAGGAGAGUGGAAUUCCACGUGUAGCGGUGAAAUGCGUAGAGAUGUGGAGGAACACCAGUGGCGAAGGCGACUCUCUGGUCUGUAACUGACGCUGAGGCGCGAAAGCGUGGGUAGCGAACAGG
Molecule: ribosomal RNA, 253 nt
Filed under: uncultured Lentibacillus sp.
Lineage: Bacteria; Bacillati; Bacillota; Bacilli; Caryophanales; Bacillaceae
Description: partial 16S ribosomal RNA
Rfam family: Bacterial small subunit ribosomal RNA
Source: RNAcentral